GAUGAACGCUGGCGGCGUGCCUAAUACAUGCAAGUCGAGCGAACAGAUGAGGAGCUUGCUCCUCUGACGUUAGCGGCGGACGGGUGAGUAACACGUGGAUAACCUACCUAUAAGACUGGGAUAACUUCGGGAAACCGGAGCUAAUACCGGAUAAUAUAUUGAACCGCAUGGUUCAAUAGUGAAAGACGGUUUUGCUGUCACUUAUAGAUGGAUCCGCGCCGCAUUAGCUAGUUGGUAAGGUAACGGCUUACCAAGGCAACGAUGCGUAGCCGACCUGAGAGGGUGAUCGGCCACACUGGAACUGAGACACGGUCCAGACUCCUACGGGAGGCAGCAGUAGGGAAUCUUCCGCAAUGGGCGAAAGCCUGACGGAGCAACGCCGCGUGAGUGAUGAAGGUCUUCGGAUCGUAAAACUCUGUUAUUAGGGAAGAACAAAUGUGUAAGUAACUAUGCACGUCCUGACGGUACCUAAUCAGAAAGCCACGGCUAACUACGU
RNAcentral lists this ribosomal RNA (496 nucleotides) under uncultured bacterium. RNAcentral describes it as "partial 16S ribosomal RNA". It matches the Rfam family "Bacterial small subunit ribosomal RNA", at positions 28 to 506 of the family's 1533-position model. The record is from RNAcentral.